ACUUGAUCUGAAAUCAGGCGGGAUUACCCGCUGAACUUAAGCAU
RNAcentral lists this ribosomal RNA (44 nucleotides) under Absidia caerulea. RNAcentral's name for it is "partial 28S ribosomal RNA". The record is from RNAcentral. Lineage: Eukaryota; Fungi; Mucoromycota; Mucoromycetes; Mucorales; Cunninghamellaceae.